Molecule: ribosomal RNA, 276 nt
Filed under: uncultured bacterium
Lineage: Bacteria
Description: partial 16S ribosomal RNA
Rfam family: Bacterial small subunit ribosomal RNA
Source: RNAcentral
AACGAACGCUGGCGGCAUGCCUAACACAUGCAAGUCGAACGCGUGUAGCAAUACACGAGUGGCGGACGGGUGAGUAACGCGUGGGAACCUGCCCAAUGGUAGGGAAUAACUGCGGGAAACUGCAGCUAAUACCCUAUGCUCCCUACGGGGAAGAUUAUCGCCAUUGGAGGGCCCGGCGUCGGAUUAGCUAGUUGGCGGGGUAACGGGCCCACCAAGGCGACGAUCCGUAGCUGGCUGAGAGGACGAUCAGCCACACUGGGACUGAGACACGGCCCA